RNAcentral lists this ribosomal RNA (200 nucleotides) under uncultured bacterium. RNAcentral's name for it is "partial 16S ribosomal RNA". It matches the Rfam family "Bacterial small subunit ribosomal RNA", at positions 29 to 214 of the family's 1533-position model. The record is from RNAcentral.
AACGAACGUUAGCGGCGCGCUUAACACAUGCAAGUCGCACGAGAAAGGGAGCAAUCCCCGGUACAGUGGCGCACGGGUGAGUAACACGUAGGUAAUCUUCCCUCGAGUGGUGGAUAACCUUCCGAAAGGGAGGCUAAUACAGCAUGAGACCACGGAAGCGAAAGCUUCUGAGGUCAAAGCCGGCCUCUAUACAUAAGCUG